RNAcentral lists this long non-coding RNA (5671 nucleotides) under Brassica napus (rape). RNAcentral describes it as "long non-coding RNA (BNAP_LNC016984)". The record is from RNAcentral. Lineage: Eukaryota; Viridiplantae; Streptophyta; Magnoliopsida; Brassicales; Brassicaceae.
AGCAACAGAGAAAGAGAGAGAUAGGAUUGUUUGAGGUGUGUAUUUGUAUACUUAUAAAUAUAAUUUGCCUAAGGCUUCUUCUUCUUCACCCUCAAACAUUAUCAUCAUCAUCUACUUGGUGUCUUUCUUUGUCUCUAAACUUUAGCUAUUUACUGACCUUUUCUUCUUGGUUUCUUUCUUUGCACCUCAACACUAGGAGUACAAUAGAAAACAACUUAUUAUAUGUCUUCUUUCAAAAAGUUACAAAUGAAAUCUAACUCUUUGGAAUUAUAUUUGUUCUACUCGUAAAUGUCUUCUAGUGGCUUUUUUUUAAGAAAUAAAAAUAUUACAUUAAACAUAUAUCAUAAUAUUAUUAUCUGAUAUAAAAUGAGGAAAACAUAAUAAUUGAAUAUACAAUAUAAAAAAAAUAAACAAUAAGUAAAUAUAAAAUUAAGAAAUGAAAAAACAAAUUAAACAUCUCUCUAAAAAAUAUAUUGUAAAAUAAAUAAUAAAUAUAUAUACAAUAUAAGAAAUAAAAAUAUUAAAAUAAAUAAAUAUACAAUAUAAGAUAAACUAAACAUAGCGUAAAUAUAUAAUAUAAGAAAUACAAAUAUUACACUAAACAUCUAAUGUAAUAUUAUCAUUUGAUAUAAAAGCAAAAAAAAUUAGAAUAAGUAAAUAUACAACAUAGGAAAAAUAAUCAAUAAGUAAAUAUUCAAUAUCAGAAAUAUAAAAAAUAAAUUAGAAAUCUAUCUGAAAAAUGUAUACUAAAAUAAAAAUAAAUAAUAAGUAAAUAUACAAUAUAAGAAAUAGAAAAACUACAUUAAACAUCUUUCUGAAAAAUGUAUAGUAAAAUUAAUAAUAAAUAAAUAUAGAAUAUAAGAAAUAAAAUUAUUACAUUAAACAUCUAUCAUAAUAUUAAAAUAAAAAUAAAUAAUAAGUAAAUAUACAAUAUAAAAAAUAGAAAACCUACAUUAAGCAUCUAUCUGGAAAAUGUAUAGUAAAAUAAAUAAUAAAUAAAUAUACAACAUAAAAUAUAUAAAUAUUAUAUUAACCAUCUAUCUUAAUAUUACUAUUUCAUAUAAAAGUAAAAUACAAUUAGACUAAGAAUAUAUACAAUAUAAGAAAUAGAAAAACUACAUUAAUCAUCUAUCUGAAAAAUAUAUUUUUCAUUUUUAUUAUUUCUAAAUAUUUUUAUAAAUAAAUAUACAAUAUAGAAAAAAUAAAUAAUAAGUAAAUAUACAAUAUAAUAAAUAGAAAUAUUACAUUAAACAUAUAUUGUAAUAUUAGAAUAAAUAAAUAUACAAUAUAAGAACAAAUACAUAAUAAGUAAAUAUACUAUAUAAGAAAUAAAAAUAUUACAUUAAAAAUCUAUCAUAACAAGAAAAAAUAAACAAUAUGUAAAUAUACAAUAUUAAAAAUGGAAAAACUAAAUUAAACAUCUAUCUGAAAAUUUAUAGUACAAUAAAUAAUAAGUAAAUAUACAAUAUAAAAAUAUAAAUGUUACAUUAAACAUCUAUCGUAAUAUUAGAUAAGUAAAUAUACAAUAUAAGAAAAUAAAAAAUAAUUAUAUAUACAAUAUAAAAAUAUAGAAAAACUACACUCAAUAACUAUCUAGAAAUGUAUGGUAAAAUAAAUGAUAAGUAAAUAUAAAAUAGAGAAAAUAUAAAUAUUACAUUAAACAUCUAUCGUAAUAUUACCAUUUGAUAUAAAAUGAAGAAAAUUAGAGUAAAUAAAUAUACAAUAUAAGAAAAGCUAAGUAAUAAGUAAAUAUACAAUAUAAGAAAUGAAAAACUACAUUAAACAUCUAUCUGAAAAAAGUAAAGUUUUUUCUGGUUUUAUUUAAAGAUAUAUGUGUAAAUAUACAAUAUGUGUAAUUAGACAUAAACAUACAAUUUAGAAUACAACGUCCAAAAUAAUAGUUAUAUAGUUAACAUUUGAAAAUCAAAAUAGUUCCGAUCGUAGAGCGGAUUAAACCCGUAGUUAAAUUAUAGUGAUUGUAAUUCAACAUUUUAACCUCUACAACGUCUUCCUUCGAGCAAGUAAAUUGUUAGAAUGAAUAUUUCACAACUCACGUUAUAAACAGACUUUUUCAAAGUUGUUUAACGAUGACAAGAUAUAAAUCAGAGUUGAACAAAACAGAGAGUCUAAACAGAAUUAAUGAGAUUCUAACAAUUUACUUUACAACCAACGUUCAAAACAGAGAAUUUUGCAAACAGCCAAUAUUUGAAAUAAGUACUCGAUCAGAGUGGUCACCUUAUUUAAUACCUUAUUAACAGUUCCCUUCAGCUCCCUUGCGCAACAGAUUGGGGAUACUCGGUUGCAGUGGCGGAGGUAGAGUGUAAGGAGGGGAGUCAUCUAACCCCUAAGAAUUUUUGUUACAGAAAAAUUUAUUUGUAUUUUUGAUGAGAAAGUUAGUGAAAUGUUGUAAAAUCAUUAUAUUGACCCCGGUAACAUAUGCUCAAUAUUAACAUAAAACCCAUAACUUAAUUUAUUGACCCGUUAAUUUUUUUGGCUAGCUCCGCCACUGCUUGGUUGUCACGUUCAGUGAAGUAGUUCCCUUGAGCUCAUCCUCCCUAAUUCAAAACAGAGUGAUCAGAACGGGGCAUUCUCAGUACCUAAAAUUAUCAUGAGAAACUACACAAUACUGUUAGUGUUUAACAUUGCUCUUCUUCUACGCCAACAAAAACAAACAAUGGUCAAGAUUACAUAUUUUAUGUAGAUCUUGCUAACAAAACACUUUGAAAUGCUUGGUUCUUAAAGCAUGGAAACAAACCAGAAAACGUUAGUGGCUUUGCAAUAAUUUACUUCACUGAAGAACUACCUUACUAGCAACCAUGUAAACGUCUAAUAUAUGAAUUGUUGCUUGCUCAGAAUAACCAAUCUACAUGAUCGAGUUACAUAAUUGGAUUUUCAACAUUUUCAACCUGAAAUUCCUAUAUCUAAGGUUUUUCAUAAAGCUAAUUCAUAACGAGAACUACACAAUACUGUUAGUGUUGGAGAUUACUCUUCCUCUAAUCGAAAAAAUUAAAAACAAAUGGUCAAUAUUUCAAAAUCGAUGUAGAUCCCACUAACAGAGAACGUUGAAAUGCUUGGUUCUUAAAGCCUGGAAAUAUAUAUUGACCUUAUAUUUUAGGAAAAAUGAUUGCUGACUACACGAAGUAUUGACCAUCACAUGGCUAACCAUGCAAACUAAAUAAUGUAUACCUACCUAUGUGAAGUAUAUAUUAUGCAAAAUAGCAUCCCUAAACUUAAUGAUAUUAUUUAGUUAACAUCACGAGUUUAAUUUCGUUAAUCCAAAAAUUGAUGUAGAUGUCAGAGAUCGUUUAAAUAUCUCGUUUCAUCAAUUAAAAUAUGACCGACUCGGCUGUAAUUUAACUAAAUGAGAUCUUAACCUACGCUUUAAAAACGUAAGAAUAUUUUUAACAAAAUCUAAUUUACAAAAUCAAUAUGUUUUAUCAUUUUUUGAUAAGUAGCGUUUUAACAUUUUAAUUUUAGUGUAUUUGAAAAAUAUAUAAUUAUAUUAAUUUUUAUCUAUAUUAAAUAUGAAAAUACGUAAGAUAUUAUGUAAUUUUGUUUUUAAUUAUUUUAAUCUGUUUUCUUAUGAAAGUUUAAGAAAACUUCUGUAAUUCAUUUGAUUAGUUGUAUGAUAUAUACUUAUUUGAUACAUUUUUAAAUGGAUGCAAUUUUAGUUUAUGAAAAUAUAAAAAUAAAAUCAUUAAUUUAAUUAAUUUUAUAUAAAACAAAUAAAAUGUUAGAGUCAGUAAAUUGACAUGAAAUAAGUUUAUAGUGUAAAAUUGAUCAAAUAAGUAUAUAUCACACAAUUAAUCAAACGAAAUACAAAAAAAAUAUUAAGAGUUAAUAACAAAACAGAUCAAAAUAAUUAAAAACCAAAAUUAAAUAAUAUCUUCUAUAAAUUUCAUAUUUAGUUAAAUUACCAUAAGGUAUAUUAUAUUUUAAUUGAUUAAAACAGAGAUUUAAACGGUUUCUGAUAUCCACAUCAAUUUUGGAUUAACAAAAUUAAACUCGAGAUGUUAACUACAUAACAUCAUUAAGUUAAAGAAUGUUGUCAUGCAUAAUAUAUACUUCUUGUUGUUAGAUAUACAUUAGUUUAAUUUGCAUGGUUAGCCAUGUGAUGGCCAAUAUUUUUGUAGUAAACAAUCAUUUUUCCUAUAUUUUAUUAUAAUAGAUUCUACAAAUAUAUGAGCAUGAAAAUAUAUUUUAAUAUACACUGAGUUCAAAAAAAAGAAAGUUCACAAAAAUUGAUAUUUAAAAAUAAAUAAUCAUCCCUUUAAACCAUUAUUUUAAACAACAUAGUAUAUAUAAAUAUAUGGAAAUUAUUAAAAUAUUUCCUUUAUAUCAAAAUAUAUUCUUAGAUGCUUACAAAAUUAGGGGAAAUUUUCAUGUUUACCAUCACUAAACAGACAUUUACAAAAAUAUUUUCUUCAUUAAAACGCAAAUGACUCUUAUACCCUUAAUCUCUAUAUAUAUAAAUAAUUAUUUAAAUAAAAUAAUUAUCUUAUCAAAUUAUACUUUUUCAAAAUCAAACUUGUUUAUAUUUUUUUUUUUGAAUUUGUUUCAAUUUUUUUUUUGAAAUUCAAAAAUUAUUUUUGAAACUAAUUUUAAAAUUAUUUUGAAAUGUUAUAAAAAAAAAUUAAAUAUUUAUUUAUGUAUUUAUUAGAACCCUAAAUUCCACAUUCUAAAAGUCAUACUCCACUCCCCAACUCUAAAUCCUAAGUCUAGAUUAGUUAACCAUAAGGUUAUAAAUAUUUUUUUCCCUCUUUAAAAGUGAGAGUAAAAGUAGUUUAAAUAAAAUUUAGUUAUGCCAAUUAAACCAUUUGUGUAUUAUUUAAAAUAUAUAUCUCACAUUUUAGUCAUUUUUAACAAAUUAUAUAAAAUCAUACAUUUUGAAUAGUUAAAGUAUGACACUAAAUAUUAUGAUUGAACAAAAUUAGUAAUAUUUUCUUCUUCUUUUUUAAGUAUAACCUUCAAGGUAGGAAAAAGUAUAAGAAAUAUUAAAUAUUUUAGUUUUUUAAAAACAAAGGAUACAAUUUAAAUAAAGUGGAAGAUUUAAAAAAAAAUUGAUAUUAUACUUCUAUGAAAAUUAAGUCAAUUUAAUAUGAUUUUAUAAUAAUUGAAACAAAAAAAUAUAUAUUAUUUCUUAUUUCAUGACCCAAACGUUAAAUACCUAAAAUUUAAAAUAGUUCUAAAAAUAAAAUAAUAAUAUUUGAUUAUGUCAUAUAUUUAGAAUAGCUAAUUGAUGAUGGUCAAAAUUACAAUAGAUAAGUUUGAACAGUGAUUUCAAUAUCUACAACUAAUUUUCAAUAAUUAAUUACUGAACGGUUACAGAGUUGAAACGUAUUAAAAAAUUAAUUAAUGUAUUAGAAAGUCCUUUUAGGAAAAGGUGAAAUGGACUAUGGCUAUAUAUAUUGAGAUACUGCAAGACUCACUUCUAAUUAUUAAAGAGCAGAGCAACAGAGAAAGAGAGAGAUAGGAUUGUUUGAGGUGUGUAUUUGUAUACUUAUAAAUAUAAUUUGCCUAAGGCUUCUUCUUCUUCACCCUCAAACAUUAUCAUCAUCAUCUACUUGGUGUCUUUCUUUGUCUCUAAACUUUAGCUAUUUACUGACCUUUUCUUCUUGGUUUCUUUCUUUGCACCUCAACACUAGGAGUACAAUAGAAAACAACUUAUUAU